This 5438-nucleotide long non-coding RNA is filed under the name Nicotiana tabacum (common tobacco). RNAcentral describes it as "long non-coding RNA (NTAB_LNC014165)". The record is from RNAcentral. Lineage: Eukaryota; Viridiplantae; Streptophyta; Magnoliopsida; Solanales; Solanaceae.
CUAAAAGAAAACGGAAGCUGCUAUUUCCAAUUCUCCUCCAUCGUAAAAAAAACCAGCAAAACUUCCCAAUCAAAAAGAAUCUGGAGCUAGGACCUAGGCAUUCUAAGAGAUGGGGAACGAAAAGUAACAAAAAAAAAAGCAAAAAGAGAAUUGAAAAAAAUAGAGAGAACGGCAAAGCCCCAUUCCCAGUCGUUUUCCUCUCAUCUCCUCUUAGCUUCACCGCCAAAAUCCAGCCGCUAAUCACCAUUGAACGCACUCUAAAAAAAUUCUGAAAACCAGUCCAAUCCAGCCCCAAAAUCAACUAAAAACGCUCAAAACAACAACUCAAAAUUGAUACCAUUCGGGUUCGAGUUCUGUCAAGGUCGCCGGCAUAGUUUUGCGAUCGAGUGAAGUGUAGAGCCUCAGUUAACGCCUGCUCAUUUUCACUCAUGGCGUGCUUGUCGUUGUAUAUCGUUCGGAGCUGCCGCAAAAUUUUGCAAGUUAAUAAAAGGUCCAUGUUUAUCUAUUGUUCGAUAUUAUGAUUGAUCUGAUUUUUUUUUCUUUCUCCAGUUAAAUGAUAUGUUUUUAAAUGAAUUUGGUGGUUGUUUGAACAGAUCAAAAUCACUAAAAUAUAAGAAGUUCCAUAUGUAUAUGACAUGUAACACAACUCAAUUCAACAUAUAUCUUCACUUCGACGAUGUACUCCUCUAAUGCAGUUUCUUCUUCCCAAGGUUUCAUAUUCUUAUCCUGGGGAUAUGAGUGGAUAUAUAUAGGGGAAGACUUCAUACUAUAGUUGAAUGUUUAGUUAGUGAAACUUCACUGAAUUUUAAAUUUGAAGCAUCUCUUGAUUAGACACUAGUAGUAUAUUAGUAGGCUUCUUCGUUCUAUAUAUGUUAAGUAGUUUUUUUUUUCUUAUUUUGAUUUGCUUAUUUGAUUCAACGUUUUUGAGGCAUAAGCUGAAUUGAUCACGUGAUUGUUAAGAAAUCUAUUUAGGUUAGUUGAUUAAGCUUAAAAUUAAAUGUUGUGGCCAUGUGAUUGAUUUUUUUUGUGAAAUUGUCUUGGGCCGUGAAGAUUUAGACAAUUAGAUUCGAGGCGUGCCAUAAAGUAAGAUAUAGUUUAUGGCCCUCAAAAGCUUAGUUUAAGUUUUUCCUUUUAAAAAAAGUAGAAUCGAGGUGUGUCAUGCCGAAUAAAAUCUUCAAACGCAAUGGCCCUCGCUUAAUUAUUUCUUUUAAAAUCCUUAGAAAUCGAGGUGUGCUAUUUAGUCGAAUUUCCAUGGCCCUCGCAAAGUUGAAGAUGCGUAGUUGCUUUAGUCGCGUUCUUUUAAUAAUUUACCUUCCUAAACUCGGGUGCGCAUUUAUGUGGCCCAAAUCCAAAUCCCAACAACGUUAAACAAAAUGUGUCGCAGACCGCGGGUGCAUUUAUGUGACGUGGUUCAAGACGUGUUUUAGAUGACGUUUAAUUUUUCCUAAAAAAUAAUUAAUAAAAGCGGUUAUAAAGUUAAAAUUACACCAUAGGUUAAAACAUGUACUAAAAUCAAGUAAUAGGCCAAUAAUAACAGUUGAGCGACCGUGCUAGAACCACGGAACUCGGGAAUGCCUAAUACCUUCUCCCGGGUUAACAAAAUUCCUUACCCGAAUUUCUAUGUUCGCGGACUGUAAUACAGGGUCAAUCUUUUCCUCAAUUCGGGAUUUGAACCGAUGACUUGGGACACCGUAAAAUUAUCCCAAGUGGCAACUCUGAUUUUUAAUAAAAUAAUCCCGUUUCGAUUGUCCUUUAAUUGAAAAAACUCCCUUAUACAUCCCUUCCGGGGGUGUAGGUAAAAAGGAGGUGUGACAAUAAGUACUUCUUUAUCUUUAACCAGAGGUCUCGGUUCAAACUCUGGGUAUAAAAUUAUCUUUGUAAGAGAUCUUUUUAAACCUCAAUGUAAGAUUUUCUUAUGCAAAUCCGAAUUUAGUCGGGCCCCAAUAUUGAUACCUGACGCCUAAUGUGAAACUUAAAAAAAAUGAUUUGGAUCCCUUCCCAAAUAAAACCCUUUAAAGUUUUAUCCCUUAAAGAGUUUAUACAAAUAUGUUUUGGAUUAUUACAUUUCGAAUGCUUGAAUUUAUAAUUUUAAAAAAGAACUAGUACUCUCGUGAUGGAAGAGGAACAAUUUUCUGGAGAUGCGUAGCCUCUUCUCCUCUCAAACAAGCAAUCUUUGUGUAUUGUAUAAAACCAAAAGGAAAGAAAUGAAAACAAAACAUUUUUUUAGGAUCGAUCAUACGCGGUGUACGACGUUGUUGACCAAGACUGGAGGAAACUUGGUUAAAUGAUAAAAUCACAUUUCUCAAUCACCACAUUGAACUUUUCUUAAUCCGCGUUUUCCCAAAGUUGGAAGCACAUCGUUAUUUUCGUAUUAUGUGUCGUGCAAGAUCGAGAUAACUCUUCUUGGCAUGACUUGGAAUAGGAAGGACAACAGUCAACGCGUCCAACUUUCUUGUAAACACAAACUAAUAUUAGAAAAAAAAAAAAUUAGAAGCAGAAAAUAUUGGGCGUUGUGCACCAAUAACCACUUUUUAAUCCCGCUGUUUAAAAUUUAUUCAUAAUUUAUGAUAUAAGUCAAUUAAUCCAAACUUUAGUAUUAAGUAUCCUUAAUUUGGAAUUCAGGAUUUAGUGUCCUUAAUUUUUGAGGUGCUAAUUUGAAAUUCAGGACGAAGGCUUUAUUUGUUUGCAUACUUAAUGAAUGUCUGAAUCUUAAUCAUUCAGAUCUCAGACAUUAAGUGCGUUUUGUUUUUAAAGUCUGAAUCUUAGUUAUUCAGAUCUUAAUCAUUAAGUGUGUUUGUUUUUUUAUUUCACAACCACUUAAUGGGUCUGAAUAGGUCUGCAUGAUUAAGAUCUAUAACAGAGACUUAAUUUCACUAAGAUAUUAUCAUCCAUAUUCAUUAUUAAUUGUCGUCAUCGCCUACCAUUAUCAACUACCACCAUGCCGCCACCACCACCACCAUCAUCCUCAAUCAUAGCCGCCACCAUAAUCGACUACCACCACCUGCCAUCCGCACCACUCACACCACCAUCAUUCUCAACCACAAACAACACUCAUCCGGAUCCACUUCAACUACCACAACUAACCACCCCAUCACCAUCAACAACCAUAACCGGCACUGCCCAUCAUUAUAAACUACCACCACCCACCACCACCAUCCUCAAUCAUAAUUGCCACCACUAGCUACUACCCUGAACCACCACCAUCAACGAAACCUACCACUAACCAUCGUCUCUAGUCAGCAUUCACAAGCACCACUGUUAGCCAUCACCACCAGUAACUACUAUAUCUUUAAAAAAAUUAUAUAUUUUAUUGAUAUAAUAUUAGAUUAAUUAGUAUUUCAUUUGAAUUUUAUGUUUAUUAAUUUUCAAAUAAAGAUAAAUUUUAUACAUUCACAUGUUAAAAAUCAAACAGUCUUAAUAAUUUAGUAUUCAGAUCUUAAUACACAUAUAAUAUUCAAAUGUAUAUUUAGAUUCCAAUGUCUUAAUCUUAAUACACAUUGUAAUAUUUAGAUGUGUAUUCAGAUUCAGACGUCUUAAUCUUAAAAAAAAUUCUUUAAUAGUCCUGAAUUUCUGAACUACUAAUUUACAAUUCAGGACACAAACACAAUUUUCAAACUUUAGGACACGAUGUCCUGAAGUUUGAACUUUGAGGUUAAAACUUCAGGACGUUAUUUCCUAAAAUUUGAAUGAAUUGACUAAUCUUUAAAUACAUUGUAAACUGUGAAUAUAUUUUAAAUAACAUGGUUAAAAGUGGAUACUGGUAUUGUUUAACCAAAAAAUAAAAUUUUAGUCAAAGCUAGAAUUUAGAAGAACACAGGUUACUGAUAAUCAAAAGAAUGUAUAAAAGGAAGUAAUUUAUGUAGCAAGAGAAUAAUCAAGAGAAAAACAAGUAAACCAAAGUUUAUUCCAAUAGUGUUUCGUGUCCUUACAAUUGAUCAGAUAUCUCCCUUUUAUAGAUAUCUUGGAGAUAUACGUUUUGCCCAAAUCAUAAUGAGGUUAUUAUGAGUAAUUAAAGACAUUGAAUGCUACAUUACAUAAUCAUUACAUUCAAUACAAAUUCUCUAACGUAUUCCACAUUUAGUGCCUAUUAAAUGUCGUAUCUGCACUCUUUUCUAUUGUCAUAUUCAUUCCUUUUAAUUCUCGGACAUAAAUGACUUAGAUAGGUACGGGCGCUGAGUUAUUUGAAUAACUGCCCGUGCCUCUUCCUCUGCCAUUUGUUCGUAUCUGUUGCAACUCGUGCCUCUUGGCUAGUUGUAAUUCUUUGAUCAUUUGAUCAGUCUAUGUGUCUUGACACGUCACCUUUAUAUUUAAAUACAAUUUUUCCAAUACAAAUAGUCCCCCCACUUUUCAUUUAUUCAUCAGUUGAAUAUUUGGGAAGUGGAUUUCAUUAAAAGAGAAUUUUUGUCACCAUUAAUGCUAUGACAAAAUUGACGCUUCAAUUGUCGCUUCCAUUUAAUGCUCCGUACACGUGUUAUUUUUCCAUUGGUUAUGCAGUUUUGCAGCCCUUUUCAAGACUUUUUUACGGCUCUAAUAUUCACGAAGUGCUAGUUAUCAUUAUUAUGGUCCUUCCAUUAUUGCACUUUUACCUUUGGCGGUUGCUUAUUAAUAUAAAUAUAACUUCUUUCCUUUUCUUUUACCACAUAAAGCUUAUUGAACACUUAAUUCCUCAAAUCUCAGUUCACUUCUUCCUCACAUUAUUCUUCUUCGCCAUGUCUUCACCAAACCUUAACCCUAGGAGAGUUCCCAUUGUUGAUACCUUCCCCAAUGCCCCCAUUAGGCAUAGAAGGGGAGGUAGGCUUCGUAGCUUAGGGUCUACUCGUGGUGGUGGUUCGUCUAUACCUUCUCCUAGUUCUGGUCCUUCUUCUAGAACCAGAGGUUCCCUCACAAAUCUUCUUCUAGAGCUAAAGAACCAUCUGAACCAUUACGUGAGCCUUUAGUAGAUGAGAUAGUCCCUACAGAACUAUCUUUUUACCAUGAUAGGGAAUUUCUUAAAAACCAGGUUUCCGCUUUAGAUCGUGUUGAUGCUUACCCCACUCAAAUUACAGAAGUUUUGACUCCUGUAGUUCGCAAAGAUUGCCAUUAGAGUAAUGAUUUUCCCAUUAUUAUCCCUAAUCUAAAUCAGAGAAUUACUUCUUACUUGACUGGGUUCUCUUUUGUUUAUGCAUACUCUUUUACUUUAGGGUUCAAACCAGCUAUUGACCCAGUCAUUCUUGAAUUUUGCCGUUUCUUUAAUGUCUGUUUGGGUCAAAUUGGCCCAAUCAUAUGGAGGGUUGUUGCCUGUUUUAGGCAUUUUAACCAAUAUGGCUGACGUUUCCUUUACUUUCCCUCACCUGAUUCAUCUUUACUCCCCUAGGCUUUUCUAUAAUGGCGUUUUUACCCUAGUGGCCAGGAGUAAGAGGGUUUUGGUGAGCCCUAAAGAUGACAAGGACAGUGGCUGG